This 510-nucleotide ribosomal RNA is filed under the name uncultured bacterium. RNAcentral describes it as "partial 16S ribosomal RNA". It matches the Rfam family "Bacterial small subunit ribosomal RNA", at positions 28 to 507 of the family's 1533-position model. The record is from RNAcentral.
GACGAACGCUGGCGGCGUGCUUAACACAUGCAAGUCGAACGAAGAGCGACGGAAGCUCGCUUCUAUCAAUCUUAGUGGCGAACGGGUGAGUAACGCGUAAUCAACCUGCCCUUCAGAGGGGGACAACAGUUGGAAACGACUGCUAAUACCGCAUACGAUCUAAUCUCGGCAUCGAGGAUGGAUGAAAGGUGGCCUCUACAUGUAAGCUAUCACUGAGGGAGGGGAUUGCGUCUGAUUAGCUAGUUGGAGGGGUAACGGCCCACCAAGGCGAUGAUCAGUAGCCGGUCUGAGAGGAUGAACGGCCACAUUGGGACUGAGACACGGCCCAGACUCCUACGGGAGGCAGCAGUGGGGAAUCUUCCGCAAUGGACGAAAGUCUGACGGAGCAACGCCGCGUGAGUGAUGACGGCCUUCGGGUUGUAAAGCUCUGUUAAUCGGGACGAAAGGCCUUCUUGCGAAUAGUGAGAAGGAUUGACGGUACCGGAAUAGAAAGCCACGGCUAACUACGUG